GAUGAACGCUGGCGGCGUGCUUAACACAUGCAAGUCGAACGGAAAGGCCUCUGCUUGCAGGGGUACUCGAGUGGCGAACGGGUGAGUAACACGUGGGUGAUCUGCCCUGCACUUCGGGAUAAGCCUGGGAAACUGGGUCUAAUACCGGAUAGGACAAUGGUUUGGAUGCUGUUGUGGAAAGUUUUUCGGUGUGGGAUGAGCUCGCGGCCUAUCAGCUUGUUGGUGGGGUAAUGGCCUACCAAGGCGUCGACGGGUAGCCGGCCUGAGAGGGUGUACGGCCACAUUGGGACUGAGAUAAGGCCCAGACUCCUACGGGAGGCAGCAGUGGGGAAUAUUGCACAAUGGGCGCAAGCCUGAUGCAGCGACGCCGCGUGGGGGAUGACGGCCUUCGGGUUGUAAACUCCUUUCGCUAGGGACGAAGCGUUUUUGUGACGGUACCUGGAGAAGAAGCACCGGCUAACUACGUG
Molecule: ribosomal RNA, 467 nt
Filed under: uncultured bacterium
Lineage: Bacteria
Description: partial 16S ribosomal RNA
Rfam family: Bacterial small subunit ribosomal RNA
Source: RNAcentral